Athene cunicularia (burrowing owl) is the source of this 304-nucleotide long non-coding RNA. RefSeq lists it as uncharacterized. NCBI's taxonomy places the organism in Eukaryota, Metazoa, Chordata, Aves, Strigiformes, Strigidae. The transcript is spliced from 2 exons. The record is from RefSeq and is a predicted model, not a curated record.
GGAUGGCUUUGUCCAGAUUCAACUCCUGCUCCUUGUAGGUUGGUUGUUUCUGGUUCAGCCUGUGAACAGCUCCAGUUUGUAGCUUCAGGUCUUGCUCCAGUUCAGUUUUGGCUGCAGCUUGUUUCCAUCUCAUCUUCAGUUCCAGUUUGUCUGUGGCCCCAGCUUGUUUUCAUCUCCAGCUAUGACAACUUGUGCUUGUUAAAACCACCUUGGUUUUUAGCAAGGACAUAAAUCAAUCACUGUACACAUGUUGACUGAUUACUUUGUGUUUAUUUUUCAAUGACUAUUCUGGUGUUUGUUACAC